CAUGGGGGGCGCCCCCUUGUCCUGCUUCUGGUCGGGGGGGAUGUACUGGUGGUACUUCAGCUUCUUCACUUUGGGCUUCAGCUCUUUCGCCUUCUUGCUGCGAGGGGGCUUCUCCCCCGGGGCCUUGGGCUGGCUUUGCUGAGGGGGGGCCAGGAGAGGGGAGGCACGUGAGCCUUGGCACUCCCUGACCCCCAGCCGCCGCCUCUGACCUCUGCCCCCUGGCCUGCCACAGUCAGCUGUGGGCCUGUCCCUCCGCCCCUCCUCUGGGCCUCAAGGAGCCCGCAGCAGGAGGGAGCCCUGCCCUCUAGUGGGGGAGGGAGGUGGAGAAGAGGAGCCCGAGAGCUCCAGGAGGAGAUGGCACCUUAGCCGGUAUCGGCAGGAGGGGAGUGGGGGCGUCGCCAAGGCCAGCUGAGUCGUGAGGCACCCAAGGCUCCGUGUCUCUCCCCGCCUGCUCAUCUCCCAGGAGAAAGGCCCCAUCCAAAGGAGCCCCAGUGCCUGACAAGGGUAGAGGGAGAACAGGCCGAGGAUGACAAAGUUAGGAACCUGACGACCGGAUGAAGAAGGGGGCAGGCUGGGGAAGCAGGGGAGCUCAGCACAGGACCCCAUGCCCAGGGCCAGGGAGAAGGGCAAACAGGCAGUUAGGGAAUUUGGGCUGGGGUGCCUGAACUUGGAUGUGCCCAAGUGAUCCCCAGAGCCUGACAACAGAUGAGACUGCCCCCGGGAAGGGAUCGUGGAGAGAAGAGCGCAGAGUGCUAGCAUGGGGCCUCCGGACAGGUGCCCAAGAGAUCACUUCCUGGUGGAAUACGGGUUUAGGGUGGAAGCCACUUCUCCCAACAACCACUGCAUUACGGCAUCAGUGGCUGGGGGGGUGGGGAAGGAGCGGGGCUAGAGGACCUCAGCACACAGGAAAGGAGUCUAGAAGGAACAGGACAGGUAAAGACACCGAGAGCCGAGGUGGAAGGGAAGGGAACUGGGAGGACACUCUGGGCCGACCAGCGGAUAGCAAAGACCACCAACAGCAAGGCCAUGCCAUGCCGGCGGCUGGGCUCACGGGCAAAGGGCCAUGCUCGAGUGUCUUGGGGGGUGGAGCUGCUUGGAGGCCAUCAACUUGCUGGACUCCCCUCCCCCAAAAGCACAGAUCAGUGGGGUUCUCUUCACUGGGGGCAGGUUUUUCCUGUGAGUCUAAGUCUGCCUUUCUUCAGCAUCCUCCAUUGCUCUGAAUUUUGCCAUCGGGAGCCAAGCAGAACACCUCGAUUUUCUCAAGAAGACAGAAAUGGAGGCAGCUAGGUGGCACAGUGGAUAGAGCACCGGCCCUGGAUUCGGGAGGACCUGAGUUCAAAUCCGGCCUCAGACACGUGACACUUACUAGCUGUGCGACCCUGGGCAAGUCACUUAACCCUCACUGCUCGGCGGAAAAAAAAAAGAAAAAAAAAAAGACGACACAGAACUUCUCAGUAAAGGAGAAGGGACAGUGUUAUCUACUGAGUGUGCAGAAGACUGAACACUAGUGAGGAAUCCAUGAGAGCAGCUGUGAGGGAGGGUACACGCAGCAGCCCCAGAGUCAAUAAUCCAUAACCACUGCCUAGGUGCCAGGCCCUGGGGGCAGCAGGAGAUGGGCAGGGUAGAGAGGAAAGGACUGCAGGGGAAGGAGCCAUCACUGAAAGAGGCUCGGGAAAGGCUUCCCAAAAGAGAUGGAGUUCUCAUAGGGACUUGGGAGAGGUGAGCAGUCGAGAAGCCGGGGUCACCUGGUCUCAGAAUGAGGGGAGGGUGGGAGCAGGCACCUCAGGAGCAGUUGGGUGGCGGGAGUCAGGAAGCCCUGAGCUCAGCCCCAGCCUCAGACACUUAUGUGCUGCAUCACCCCCCAGGCGUGUCACUGGACCCCGAUCUGUCUCCAUUUCCUCAUCUACAAAAUGGGGAUAAUGGCGCCACCUGCCUCCCAGCACCAGCACCGUGCCUGCCGCACAAAAAUCACUGGUGGCCGGUCAGAGGAUCGCCUGGAGGCUGGAGAGACUGGGUGGGCAGAUGCACCAGCAGCGACUGCAAGAGUCAAGGCAUGAGGAGAUGAAGGGCCUGCAGCGGGGUCGGGCCAGUGUGAAAGGAGAGAGGGGGAUAGAUUCUUCAGAAGUCAAGUGGACAAGAGCUGGCGCUGAGGAAACGCCAUGGGGAGCUGGAGCGGGUGUCACUGACUGAAUGCAACUUCACGAAAAACCCUAAGGUGCCUCGCCCUGGUCUUUCCUAAAUGAACUGAAAACAAUAGGGAAGGAGGAGGACUUCUCUUGGCCAGGAGUACACCCUCCCAGCAGCACAGAGACUCUCACUUCUCAUUAUAAUGAGGCCUUGGCAUGGAAACCCCAGUGCUCUGAGGGAAGGUAGAGAAAACUUGUGAAAUGCCACAACCUCUGAACAAGGUCAGAGAAGCAUCACAGCUGCUGCUGGAGAAGGGCGAGGGGGGCCGAGACGGACAGACGGACACUCAGCUUGGCGCCUCUGUGAGGCCUGCUGGCCAUGGACCCACACAAGAGGAACCUAACCAGGUCCAUGAGAGGUCACGCAGGCUGCAGCCGUCCCCACUCUCCCUGGGCAAGGGCCAGUCAAGCUGACUGCCCUCCUGUGGCACCAGGACCUAUGGCUCCUGUCCCUGUUUUCCGGCCUCAGCAGACAGGACAGCAAAGGGUCCUGGCAUUAGAGGCACGUGUAUAUGGGGAGGGGGCAGCAAUCUCCACAUCCUUUCUAUGCAGGACAAUUCAAUCUCCUCUCCUUCCACUGCAGAAUGUGUUUUCUUUGGAGCUUGGCAGAAGGAGAGCCCUGGGAAGCCAGGCCCACCUGGGGCCAUCUCAGGAAGCAGCAGCGCUAAGAUGUGCGAGCUGCAUGCUGGGGGAAAUGCGGCCAGAGACUUUUGUCCACGAGAGUACUGAGGCUAUCCCAACUGGGCAGGAGGCAUUGCUGAGGGGAGGGUGGGGGGUGUCAGAAAACAAACUCGUGGGGGCCUACAGGAAGUGCUCUGAUGAGGAAAAGGUAUGAACCAGGAAGGGAUGGGAGGGGAGGAAAGGGCACAGACAUGAGGGAAUGCAUGCACAUUUAUGCGUCUCUCUCCUUUGGGCUACCUUUUUUUUGGGGGGGGGGCGAUGAGGGUUAAGUGACUUGCCCAGGGUCACACAGCUAGUAAGUGUCAAGUGUCUGAGGCCGGAUUUGAACUCAGGUCCUCCCGAAUCCAGGGCUGGUGCUCUAUCCACUGUGCCACCUAGCUGCCCCCUAUGCAACCUGUUUCUAAGUGACUCUAGUGGCCAAACAGAGAGUCCUACAGACAGGGCUGAGGAAGCUGUCACCCUCAGUCUGCCCUGCCCUAUUCCAUUUCUCUAGCAAGCACCAAGAGCCAAGGCAUCUUCCAGGGUCGACAAAGACCCGAGCUGCCUCUCAAGGUCCAGGUGUGCCUCAGUUUCCUCUGGCCUGAGAGAGACUUGAUGUGUACUUUGCAGCCCUGCCCCCUCCUGGCCAGCAGGGGCUAAGCACCUCCUUACCAAUGAUGGCCUCCUUCAGACUGGACUCCACAGGAAGGAUGUUCUUCUCCACCAGUUCCAUGGGGCCCGGCCGCUGGGCUAUCUUCUCAUUGAGGUCAUCGGCCAGCCUGGCUCUCUUCAGUUUUAGCUGUUUGGCUUGGAGGGAAGGUUCAGCUGAAGUCUCUGCUCAUGAGAGGAGAGGAGAGGAGAGGUGAGGAGGCAGCAUUGGUACCCCUGGCGCUGUCUUGAGGAUACAAGAGCAGCUUUCCUUUCUCUCUGGGAGACCCAUCUCCCCAUCUGCUAUUCACCUGCAACUUGGGUGGGUCACAGAACAGGAGUUUACCAACUUGAAGGCUACCUAGGGACCAAAGAUCACUGGUUGAGCAUAGGGCAUUAUGGGAGGCUCAGUUCCCAAUGGAACAGAGACAAACUGUGCCCUAAGACACAAGACAUGGCUGCACACUUAUUAUUCAGCUACAAAAGAAAGAAUAAUGACCUGGGGAAUGGGAAGCCUGGCUUCUGGUCUAGCUCUGCCCUGACUUCGCCAUGUGAGCCUCAGGUAACCUCAUCUGCAAACUAACAGGGCUGGACAAGACGGUCGCAUCCAGCAUCAGAAAGGCCUCAUCACAGCAGCAACAUCAAACAGCUGUUUCCAGAGGCCAGCCUGCUGCCUCUCCUUGGUCCAAACCGUAGCAGGAGACAAGGUGGAAACUUGUGAAAACCAAGAGAAGUUUCCCAGAAUGUACUCAUUUGAGUAAAGAGGAUGUACUCAGCACCCAGAAAUGCUGGGAGAAAAUGGCUGAAGACGGGCACAGAAAAAGGAACGGGCACCAAAGGCUGGUGCCUCCCUGAGAUUCUGAAGCAGAACUCCUGCUCCAGGUGGCUCAGCUGGGCCUGGGCUGUGGGAGCACAGCCAGCUCCGUGGCCAGCAACCCGGGCGCUGAGGAGAGGGAGGAGGAAGUCUCAGGACAGCAGUGUCCUGGUCAGGGGCCACCGGGGAUUCUUGGGUCUGUGAAAGGAGGGGCUUGGGCUGGCUGAGCUUUGAGGCCUUUCUCGUAUUAAAAUCCGUUAUUAAUUAA
Long non-coding RNA from Dromiciops gliroides (monito del monte), 4576 nucleotides. RefSeq lists it as uncharacterized. The record is from RefSeq and is a predicted model, not a curated record. The transcript has 3 exons. Lineage: Eukaryota; Metazoa; Chordata; Mammalia; Microbiotheria; Microbiotheriidae.